Molecule: long non-coding RNA, 785 nt
Organism: Magnolia sinica
Lineage: Eukaryota; Viridiplantae; Streptophyta; Magnoliopsida; Magnoliales; Magnoliaceae
Exons: 3
Source: RefSeq, a predicted model, not a curated record
CUUUGAGUAUGUAGCACUGGAAGAAGUCUUGCAUUAUUACGUUCAGGGAUACCAUGGAGUUGUUAAAGAAGGAAGACCGGUCUACAUUGAGAGACUUGGUAAAGCUGAACCAAACAAGCUUAUGCAAAUUACAAGAGUAAAUAGCUACUUAAGGUAUCAUGUACAGGAGUAUGAGAAGGUCUUCCUCUAUGAAAGUUCAUUACUAUGAGGACAUAUCCAAUAAGAUGAAGAUUAAUUUGAGUUACUUGUAUGCCACAUAUAUCAACCAUCACAUCUUGCCAAAGUUGUUAUGCCUGAAAGCUACAUCUGCAGAAAUACUUUACAGUUAAAUAUAUCCCUUGAAUUUGUGGAUUAUGUGAUUAUGACAAUAUAUCUCAUGAUUUACAAGAUAAGCCUAUAUUUUCCUCAUAAAAUGAGCUUAUGGUCUAAUUUGACAAAUUGUCUUUUACUAUUUUUUCUGUGUAAUUUUGUGUUCAUGCUACUUCUAUCAGCUACAUGAAUAUAGAACGGAUCCUUAUCCAUUUGUCUUAACAAUAGUGAGAUUGAGGAAAGUGAACUCUCUGAUGCAAGCUCAACAAAUUUGAAAGAAGAUGGAUCUUCACCGUCCCUAACUCUAAUCAGAAAGUAGGGAUGGUAUUCAGAUAAACUUUCAUAUCUAAAAGGAAAAGUGCCUUCCUCGAUAGGAAUUCCAACAUCAGUUGCCCUGCCCUUUGGAGUUUUUAAGAAGGUUUUGUUAGAUGAUUCAAACCAUUUUUGUCUCAUCUCAUCUCAUGUCACUUAAGUGU